AUUGAACGCUGGCGGCAUGCUUUACACAUGCAGGUCGAACGGGAACAGGCCUUCGGGUGCUGACGAGUGGCGAACGGGUGAGUAAUGCAUCGGAACGUACCCAGAGGUGGGGGAUAACGCAGCGAAAGCUGUGCUAAUACCGCAUGUGAUCUGAGGAUGAAAGCGGGGGACCGAGCAGCAAUGUUUGGCCUCGCGCCUUUGGAGCGGCCGAUGUCGGAUUAGCUAGUUGGUGGGGUAAAGGCCUACCAAGGCGACGAUCCGUAGCUGGUCUGAGAGGACGACCAGCCACACUGGGACUGAGACACGGCCCAGACUCCUACGGGAGGCAGCAGUGGGGAAUUUUGGACAAUGGGCGCAAGCCUGAUCCAGCAAUGCCGCGUGCGGGAAGAAGGCCUUCGGGUUGUAAACCGCUUUUGGCAGGAACGAAACGGUGUCCGCUAAUACCGGGCGCUAAUGACGGUACCUGCAGAAUAAGCACCGGCUAACUACGUG
Molecule: ribosomal RNA, 492 nt
Filed under: uncultured bacterium
Lineage: Bacteria
Description: partial 16S ribosomal RNA
Rfam family: Bacterial small subunit ribosomal RNA
Source: RNAcentral